CAAAGUGAAUGAGUUCUUAAAGUGAAGAUCAAGAUAAGAACGGAUAUGGUGCUUUAUUCCCUUUUGCAUACAGUCACUUUAGAUCAGGGUUUUUUCAAACUUGGCAACUUUAAGAUGUACGAACUUCAACUUCCAGAAUUCCCUAGCUAGCAUUCUUUUACAUCAUUUUUUUUUUAGAAAAUGGAUUGAAUCUCACCCUGAGAUCCUUAGGAGACGGACUAUGAACAAAAUAGUUUUAAUAGCUUGUUUAUAGCCAUCCCUAUGUGUAGUGCGAUUGUUCUGACCCAAACCUGGUUCCCAGAGAGCAAACACAAGACAAAGGCAGCAGCAUAACCUUUUAAUGUUUCAUCUAUGAAUCCUGUUUCCUCACAUAUAAAAGGCUGCUUCCAACUGAUUAGCUCCGACAAGAAAGAGCCUUGCCAAGUUUUUGCAAGGCUGCCAAAAAACAACAGAUAAGAAAUAUUUCACAACACAAGACUCUUCAAAUACCAACUAAGAUACUGCAAUGUCCACGAGGCUCGAGUUUCAAAACGUCUUUGCUUCCUGCAAAGAACGUCUGAUUCAACAGCUGGCUUUUAUCUUCUUGAAGGAGGGACCAUUACCUUGCAGCCUUACUCCCAAGUUGCCCGUGCUGCUGCAGCUGCUCUUUCCCUACGAGCAAUCCUGUACACAAGCGCACUUGGCACAGGCUCCUCGGGAACCUCCUCACCGCUGCUGCCAGCCCCCACAAUCUCUGAAGGCAGCAGUCCACUUCUAAUGGUCCUGGCCCCUCAUCUGAGUCCUCGCUCUCCUCAGCCAUCCGCACCUGUUGCCAGCUAACCACAACAGUGAUCACCUGGACAAAACCAAUGUGUUUUGUGGAACCAGAAAGUCUGUUUGCUGUAUCAGUUGCAACAGAUGCUGCUUGCCUGAUGUUGAUGCCUCUCUUACGAUUCUCCUACUAAAUUGCCUUUGCAUCAUACUAAUGUUUUUUUCCCCAUGUUCUGCAUAGUUGGAAUCAAGAUGACUACAGCUGCCCCAACGUCUGAAUAUUCCCUGCCUUGGAAGAACGUGACCACAAAAUCUCGACAGCAAAUCCUUUAUCAGAGCUCUGGAGCAAUAGUAGCAGCUAUUGUCGUGGGCGUCAUAGUAAUAUUUACAACAGUUCUGCUCAUCCUUAAAACAUAUAACAGGCACAUGAGAAUCAAACGAGAGCUGGAGCCAAAGAAUGCAAAGACCAACAUCCCCCCUGUUUUAGGACAGGACAGUAGCACCUCUGCCAGGAACAGUGCAGUGACAUUUGUCCCUGUAGACCUUUACACCCCAAAAAGAAGACUUUGAAGAAGACAAGCAAAUGGAGGAAUAAUCAGCAAGAAGUGAACUCUGUGGAUGCUUGAGGAAUGGAAUGGCUCCCAUCCCAUGGUCCACGUUUCAGUGGUCUGCUGGUCACCAUUUUUCCUCGUAGAAGGCAAAAAAUGACAUCUAAAGGCAACCAGUUGUGGAAAUAAUAUAUAUAAACUUGCUUGUUGGAAGGGACGGUGAGAACCACCAACCACCAUCAUUCUUGGAACCAAUCAUGCCCUUCAUAUUUUCUUGCUCUGUUAAUUUAGGUUCAGCUCCCAUUGUCCUGUAAAGUGAAAGUCACUUCUGCUGUAUGGAGGUUCUGAAGACGUCAGAGGGCUUAGUCUUCAUCUUGGUUUGUAGCGGAUAAUAUAGAAUCAAUAUUCUUUCAUUUUUGGGCUCUUAAAAAGAAGUAGCAGACAUUACCACCGGUUGCCAACCCUCUUCCACCAUGGUCAACUUUCAAAAUUAGGAGUACCUUGUUUGUUGGCAGACUUAGUGCCUUUCUGUAGAAUUUCUCAACCUUGGCUCCUUUAAAAUGUGCUGGCUGGGGAUUUCUGGGAGUUGAAGUCCACACAUCUUAAAUUUGCUCAAGUUGACAAACACUGUUUACCCAGACAAGCAAAAAACUUGAUUUCAACAGUCAUGUUUUAUUAGGCUGGUUUUAGCCAACCUCAAAUUUUCUUGAGAAUGAGUGUGUAUUCUCCCAGUCCAAUCUUCACCAAACUGACAAGUGAGUUGAUAACAUUCAGUGGAUCAAAGCUAGAAUUUUAGGCUGCCUUGUCAGGAUAGAAGAUAGAUAGAGACCUCUAAGAGAAGAUGCUAGAUCUCUCUAUAUACAGAGUUAUGAGGGGGUUUUGCUCUCCUUUUCCUGUGGAACAUGUCUUUAAUGCCUUCCCUAAAUGCUACAGGGAGGGUGGGGAAAUCAACAGAUCGAUUGUGCUGAGUGUAUAAAGUGAUCCUGCCUAGGUACACAUCCUGGUGGAAGUGAAUUGUCCUAGCUUAGAGUCUCAAGCACAAAAAAACAUGAAGUGAAUCUGAAGUGGGAAUUCGUGAAAAGGUUGUGAUCCUUUUGUAAGGCCCCAAUAGAUACAAUCCUGUAGUCAAUUUAGUAGGCUAAAUUGUUCCCGUUUACUUAACUGAAACUUUGCAGCACAGAAAUAGUUUGGGGAGAUCAGCCUGUCUUCAGAAUCUUGUCGCUGAAGCAUCUGUAUUUAUUACCUCUCCUUUUUCCUUUGAAAUAAACUGAACGGGGAAAGGAUACUUUUAAAUAGC
RNAcentral lists this long non-coding RNA (2595 nucleotides) under Notechis scutatus (mainland tiger snake). RNAcentral's name for it is "lncRNA (ENSNSUG00000013020.1)". The record is from RNAcentral. Lineage: Eukaryota; Metazoa; Chordata; Lepidosauria; Squamata; Elapidae.